Molecule: ribosomal RNA, 439 nt
Filed under: uncultured bacterium
Lineage: Bacteria
Description: partial 16S ribosomal RNA
Rfam family: Bacterial small subunit ribosomal RNA
Source: RNAcentral
CCUACGGGAGGCAGCAGUGGGGAAUAUUGCACAAUGGGCGAAAGCCUGAUGCAGCAACGCCGCGUGAGCGAUGAAGGCCUUCGGGUCGUAAAGCUCUGUUCUCAAGGAAGAUAAUGACGGUACUUGAGGAGGAAGCCCCGGCUAACUACGUGCCAGCAGCCGCGGUAACACGUAGGGGGCCAGCGUUAUCCGGAUUUACUGGGCGUAAGGGGUGCGUAGGUGGUUUCUUAAGUCAGAGGUGAAAGGCUGCGGCUCAACCGUAGUAAGCCUUUGAAACUGGGAAACUUGAGUGCAGGAGAGGAGGGUGGAAUUCCUAGUGUAGCGGUGAAAUGCGUAGAUAUUAGGAGGAACACCAGUUGCGAAGGCGGCUCUCUGGACUGUAACUGACGCUGAGGCACGAAAGCGUGGGGAGCAAACAGGAUUAGAUACCCGAGUAGUC